Molecule: long non-coding RNA, 5033 nt
Filed under: Manihot esculenta (cassava)
Lineage: Eukaryota; Viridiplantae; Streptophyta; Magnoliopsida; Malpighiales; Euphorbiaceae
Description: long non-coding RNA (MESC_LNC001706)
Source: RNAcentral
CUGCGCCGAAGUUGCGGAAUUGCCGAGUAUUGAAUUAUGAAUUUAAUUCGGCCACUGAAGGCUCUAUUUAUAAGUGCAGAGGGGCACACUAUUUUGGAAGAUUACUGGCCUGGGAGUGGAUUGAGUGCGCGAGUGUCCACGUGAAGGAAUGGCGAGGUGGCGCUGGUGGUCCACGUGAAGGAAUGGUCCACGCGUAUGAGCUUGCAAGAGUGGGCUGGCGGGUCCACGCGAAUUGGGCCGUCCAAUGGCGUGAGUGGUGAGCUCGCCCAUGUGAGGAAGAAAUUGCAGGCCAUGUGAAGAUGUGAGGGAGUUUGCAGUGGCUUGCAUGGGCCAUGUGCGUGGAUGGCAUUUGGCGGGCCCCCGUGAAGUGAAUGUGCAUGAGUGGAGAAAUGCUUUGGUCCAUUUGCAAGGUAGAGUCCAUGUGCUGGCGGGUCCACGUGCAGCGAAGGUGCGGGAGUGUGGAGCGCGGCCCAUGUGCAAGUGACGUGCGGAAGUGUGCUGUGCAUGGCCCAUGCGAAAGGUGGAAUUGGUGUUGAAUGCAGGGCAUACGCGCUGGGUCCUCGCGAAGGACUUGGUCCACGUGCUGGUGAUUGGCCCAUUUGCGUGAAUUCUUUAGUCCAAGUGUUUCAAUAUUUAAGCUUUAAAAUAUUUUUCCCACUCAGCUUGUCUUGAAUCUAAUUUGGCAGACUUUCUCUUUUUUGCUCCAAAUAAGGCGGUUUUAGGGGGAUUUUCUCCAAAUUGUCCUUUUACACCAUUUUCUGCAAAAUAAUAUUAAAAGCAAUAAAUUAAGCAGAAAUUAUGUAAAUAUUCAUCAAUAAUAUUAAUAUAAAAUGGACUAAAUUAUGCUCUAUCAAAUACUACCACACUUAGCCUUUUGCUUGUCCUCAAGCAAAUAAACAUAGUCAAAUAAGAUUUCUUACUCUAGAUCCUUAUUUCCACUUAAACUCUUACUCAAGACACCUUUUUUGAAGCAUUGCAGUGAAGAGUAUAUGCAUGAAGAUUCCUUACCUCUUUUCUUUGUUUCCCUUUGCUUACCAUGGCUAAGAUUUGUUUUCCUCAAGAGAGACAUGCACAUUAAUUUGUUAAGACUUUUUCUAGCCUUUGGAUUGACUUGCCCUUACCUUGAAGUACUUUAUUCAGGCUUUUGCACUUUAGAUCUUGCUUGGAAAGGUCACAACCUAUUUUUGAUGUCAUGGUUUAUAUUUUUCAGUUGGUCACCCAUCCAAGUGGCUACUAGCCUUGUUCAUAGUCUUUUGACCAUUGGAACAGUUUUUAAUUUUGUGCUUUUGAGGUCUUUGCCUUUGCUGAAUUUUCUUUCUCUCAAUGAAUUGGGCAAAUCAACGUCAAUUGCUAAAUCAAGUCACAUUAAGUUCAUUCACACAAUUUUCAAUUUAUUCUCAAUCAAUUGAGGGUCAUCAAUAUAUUUUUCACCAUGGCAAACUCAAAGAUUCAAUUCAAAAGGCAAUUCUCAAACAUGAAUACAACUCACUGCAAUUGAUUCAACAUAAGUUUAAAGAGUUAUCACAUUAAUGGGGUCAUGGAAAGAAAAACUCAUUCAACAUAGUUCAUCAGUUUGAGUAGAGCAAAAACAAAAAGAAGAAGAAGGUUGUGGUUGUGUGUGUUUUAUUGAAAGCAUAAAUAACAAUGAAAAAUUUUUUCCUAAUGCAAGCAAACUAGAGAUUAAAGCAAAAAUAAACUUAAAAGUAAAAAUUCAGAGAUAUGCACCCCCACACUUAAAUCAUGCAUUGUCCUCAAUGUAUAAGAAACAUAAAAGAACAAAGGAAAUUGAGUACUCCCCUGGGUGUGGUGUGCAUGGUAUGAUCCUCUUGAUCAAGGCUCAAGUAAUUAGAGAAGGGAAAAGAGUCCCAACUGUAUUGAGCAAAAAGUGUAGCGCUCCUUUUGAUUUGGUCAUAGCCCAUCCUACUUUUUCCAUGUACUCAUGAAGUAGCAUGAUUAGCUUUUUCUCUUUCAGAUGAGGUGUGCCUCUAGCUCUCAUGUUUGCAUUCUUGGGAUGAUUGGGUAACAUUUUGAACUCCAAUUCAUGUUUUUCUAUGGCUAGCUGCAAUUUGGUACUGAAUUCAGGCAAAACAAACUCUACCUUAUCCGGAGGUUUGGGAAGGCAUUGAUCUGCAUGCUCCUUUGGUUUAGGUGCUUGGAAUACCAUUUGUUCCUUGUGAGCAUGGACUGUUUGCGUUGGCUCUAUGGCUGACAUGGUUUCAGUUUGCUCCUUCUGCACAAGAUUGGCUAUUUCUCUUUUUAUGACCGAAAAUAAACUGAACAAUAAUAAACUUAAAAAUGAGAUAAAAACUGGAAGUGUUGCAGGACUGUCUUGCGCAAGGCUUUUGGCAGAACUGGAUCAAGGGGCCUCCUUUUGCGCAAGGUCUAACUGAAAGGGAGGACUGGAGGAGCUUGACUGUGUUGGAAGUUGAAAGGACGCGAUGGAGAUGGUUUCAGUCUGCAAUGAGAGCUGAGGUGAAGGGUCCGGCGGCCGAAAGAUGGUGGAGUUCAAUGGCUGAAAAGUCAUGGCUUCAGUUUGCGCAAGUCCUUCCUGAAGUGGUGUAACAACAUUUUCUUCAUCCUCCGCUUGGCUGCAGUCUACCUGUUGGAUGCAAUAGUCAGUUUCUUUCAAUUCUGGCUCUUUCUGGCUCUCUUCCCUGUAAAGAUCAUCAUUUAGUAUAUCAUCAUAAAAUACAUCUUUACUCAAACGAUCAAUAAUAUCAAGACUAUCAACAAGUUCUGCUUGAUCAGUUUGUUUGGACAAACAGUUUUCUGGUUGUGUCUCUUCAGCAGCUUAUUCUUGAAUUUGCCAACUUUCCUCAUCUGUCUCAUCAGCUUGAAGCUCUUCCUCUUUUCUUACCAUGUCUGUUCUCCAUUUGGCAGCUAUUCGAUCCACUUCCUGUUGGACAUUUUGCAAAGUUUCCAACAUUUUAUAAAGUUUAGUUCUGCGAUCUUCAGGUAUUGCUUGGGCUUGAUAGUUUUUGUAGUAGUUAUCCCUUCCAUAGUCAUAAUUUGGUUGGUCUCCCCAACAUGGACGUACUUCAAGAGCUUGUUCAGCUUGGUCUAUAAUAAAACUUCUUGCAGCAGCGAUUUGUUCAUAAAGUUCCGCAAGGCGAAAAGGUGUACUUGCCUCAUCCAUGAUUUAGAUCUGCGAUGGUGACUUCUUCAGAGGCAGAUUCAGUUGUGCUUUUUUUAUUUUUUUAUUUUUAUUUUUUUUUGUCCUGAAAGAAAAACAAAUAAGUUAAAUCAACUCUCCGGCAACGGCGCCAAUUUUUGACUCGCGGUUGUCGAAGCCGGUAAAAAAUAACCUUCUUGGUUAUCAACAAUUUACAACUGCAGAUAGUGGUGAAGGAUCGAAUCCACAGAGAAUUGAUUACCUAUUUAUUUUUCUCAACAAGACCAAUAAAAUAAACUGAAACAAUGAGAUAAACAAAAAAUAAGAUAAACUGAAAGCAGAAUAAAAAUAAAUUGCAGUAAAAGUAAAAUAGGGGGGUUUGAGAUUGAUUUGAUUAACAAACUACUAAAAGCAAUUAAAAUAAGCGAAUAAUAAAAUAAAAGAGAAAUAAAUAAUAAGAAAGCUCUAGUUGAAGUAUUGGAUCCACUUUAGUCGUUGGGAUUGAUCACAGACACUUUGUUUUUUUGGGUUGAUUCAAUAGAUUAGUUUAUGGAGAUGGAAGACGCUUCUCACCACCAUUAUCUCUCCUUAUGAUUAAACCAAUUAGGGAACGUCCUCUAAUUAAUUACUAAUCAACAAAUUGCCAAGGAACGUCCUUGAGUCUUAGAUAUCAAAACAAUUGUCAAUUGCAUUAAGAAAUAGAGAGAUCCAAUCCUAGCUACCCAAACGUAUGGAGAUAACGCUAAAUCAUGCAAUUUCCUUGGUUUUAUCCCAAGUGUUCUCAUGUAAGAAUAAUCCAAGCAAUUACAGACUUAAAUUAUUCAAACUAACAAAUAAUUAUUUUGCAAUAAAAAAUCAACGUAGAUUUUAGUAACAAAAUAAUAUGAGAAUUAAAUAUGAAAUUGCAUGAAUAUUGAAUUCUCAAAAUUAAAUAAUAUUUGAUCUAAGUCUUACAACCCAUUAAACAACUAAAGUUUCAACCAAUAUUCAAUUAGAUAAAAGAAAUCAGUCACUCAUUGACUGAAUUUAAAAUAAAAAAAUAAAAGAAAAAGAAAGAAAGAAGAACCGAAGAGAGCUGCACGGAACUUGCAGAAUUGCCGAGUAUUGAAUUAUGAAUUUAAUUCGGCCACUGAAGGCUCUAUUUAUAAGUGCAGAGGGGCACACUAUUUUGGAAGAUUGCUGGCCUGGGAGUGGAUCGAGUGCGCGAGUGUCCACGUGAAGGAAUGGCGAGGUGGCGCUGGUGUUCCACGUGAAGGAAUGGUCCACGCAUAUGAGCUUGCAAGAGUAGGCUGGCAGGUCCACGCGAAUUGGGCCGUCCAAUGGCGUGAGUGGUGAGCUCGCCCACGUGAGGAAGAAAUUGUAGGCCAUGUGAAGAUGUGAGGGAGUUUGCAGUGGCUUGCAUGGGCCAUGUGCGUGGAUGGCAUUUGGCGGGCCCCCGUGAAGUGAAUGUGCAUGAGUGGAGAAAUGCUUUGGUCCAUUUGCAAGGUGGAGUCCAUGUGCUGGCGGGUCCACGUGCAGCGAAGGUGCGGGAGUGUGGAGCGUGGCCCAUGUGCAAGUGACGUGCGGAAGUGUGCUGUGCAUGGCCCAUGCGAAAGGUGGAAUUGGCGUUGAAUGCAGGCCAUACGCGCUGGGUCCUCGCGAAGGGGUUGGUCCACGUGCUGGUGAUUGGCCCAUUUGCGUGAAUUCUUUGGUCCAAGUGUUUCAAUAUUUAAGCUUUAAAAUAUUUUUCCCACUCAGCUUGUCUUGAAUCCAAUUUGGCAGACUUUCUCUCUUUUGCUCCAAAUAAGGCAGUUUUAGGGGGAUUUUCUCCAAAUUAUCCUUUUACAUCAUUUUCUGCAAAAUAAUAUUAAAAGCAAUAAAUUAAGCAGAAAUUAUGUAAAUAUUCAUCAAUAAUAUUAAUAUAAAAUGGACUAAAUUAUGC